GAUGAACGCUGGCGGCAGGCCUAACACAUGCAAGUCGAACGGUGGCACAGAGAGCUUGCUCUCGGGUGACGAGUGGCGGACGGGUGAGUAAUGUCUGGGAAACUGCCCGAUGGAGGGGGAUAACUACUGGAAACGGUAGCUAAUACCGCAUAACGUCGCAAGACCAAAGUGGGGGACCUUCGGGCCUCACACCAUCGGAUGUGCCCAGAUGGGAUUAGCUAGUAGGUGGGGUAAUGGCUCACCUAGGCGACGAUCCCUAGCUGGUCUGAGAGGAUGACCAGCCACACUGGAACUGAGACACGGUCCAGACUCCUACGGGAGGCAGCAGUGGGGAAUAUUGCACAAUGGGCGCAAGCCUGAUGCAGCCAUGCCGCGUGUAUGAAGAAGGCCUUCGGGUUGUAAAGUACUUUCAGCGGGGAGGAAGGCGGUGAAGUUAAUAACUUCACCGAUUGACGUUACCCGCAGAAGAAGCACCGGCUAACUCCGUGCCAGCCGCCGCAGUAA
This 504-nucleotide ribosomal RNA is filed under the name uncultured bacterium. RNAcentral's name for it is "partial 16S ribosomal RNA". It matches the Rfam family "Bacterial small subunit ribosomal RNA", at positions 28 to 523 of the family's 1533-position model. The record is from RNAcentral.